Molecule: ribosomal RNA, 493 nt
Filed under: uncultured bacterium
Lineage: Bacteria
Description: partial 16S ribosomal RNA
Rfam family: Bacterial small subunit ribosomal RNA
Source: RNAcentral
AUUGAACGCUGGCGGCAUGCUUUACACAUGCAAGUCGAACGGUAACAGGUUAAGCUGACGAGUGGCGAACGGGUGAGUAAUGCAUCGGAACGUGCCCGGUCGUGGGGGAUAACGCAGCGAAAGCUGCGCUAAUACCGCAUACGAUCUGAGGAUGAAAGCGGGGGACCGUAAGGCCUCGCGCGAUCGGAGCGGCCGAUGUCAGAUUAGGUAGUUGGUGGGGUAAAGGCUCACCAAGCCAACGAUCUGUAGCUGGUCUGAGAGGACGACCAGCCACACUGGGACUGAGACACGGCCCAGACUCCUACGGGAGGCAGCAGUGGGGAAUUUUGGACAAUGGGCGAAAGCCUGAUCCAGCAAUGCCGCGUGCAGGAAGAAGGCCUUCGGGUUGUAAACUGCUUUUGUACGGAGCGAAAAGGUCUCCUCUAAUACAGGGGGCUCAUGACGGUACCGUAAGAAUAAGCACCGGCUAACUACGUGCCAGCCGCCGCAGUAA